GAUGAACGCUGGCGGCGUGUUUAACACAUGCAAGUCGAACGAUGAAGCCCAGCUUGCUGGGUGGAUUAGUGGCGAACGGGUGAGUAACACGUGAGUAACCUGCCCUUAACUCUGGGAUAAGCCUGGGAAACUGGGUCUAAUACCGGAUAGGAGCGUCCACCGCAUGGUGGGUGUUGGAAAGAUUUAUCGGUUUUGGAUGGACUCGCGGCCUAUCAGCUUGUUGGUGAGGUAAUGGCUCACCAAGGCGACGACGGGUAGCCGGCCUGAGAGGGUGACCGGCCACACUGGGACUGAGACACGGCCCAGACUCCUACGGGAGGCAGCAGUGGGGAAUAUUGCACAAUGGGCGCAAGCCUGAUGCAGCGACGCCGCGUGAGGGAUGACGGCCUUCGGGUUGUAAACCUCUUUCAGUAGGGAAGAAGCGAAAGUGACGGUACCUGCAGAAGAAGCACCGGCUAACUACGUG
Molecule: ribosomal RNA, 466 nt
Filed under: uncultured bacterium
Lineage: Bacteria
Description: partial 16S ribosomal RNA
Rfam family: Bacterial small subunit ribosomal RNA
Source: RNAcentral